Vicia faba (fava bean) is the source of this 276-nucleotide non-coding RNA. Lineage: Eukaryota; Viridiplantae; Streptophyta; Magnoliopsida; Fabales; Fabaceae. The record is from the annotation of a GenBank genome assembly.
AUGGCCACAUCCAUCGAAGACCCAUUUUCUCUUCAACAACCGUCGUGCUUUAUCCGUCGUUCAAAGAUGUCGGAAGUGGAACCACCCUUUAGACCACGCGUGAAGAUUAUUGAGAAGCAAAAGUAUUUCCAGAAUAUCCCAAAACACACCUACCUGAAAGGGCCAUUGGAUAAGGUUACAUCGGUAGCAAUACCAAUUGCUCUCGCAGGAACUUCAUUGUUUCUGAUUGGUCGAGGGAUCUACAAUAUGUCACUUGGAAUAGGAAAGAAAGAAUGA